CUUCACCCAUGCAUAUUACAAAAAAAAAAAGGAAGCCACCCUUUUGCACUCCACCACCUCCGGUCAGCCACUUCCGGCGGCAUUCCGGUGAAUUUUCAGGCCAGUAAAGGUGCUCCAAGCUUGAAACCUACAACCACACUUCAUUUACUUAAAGAAAGGAGAAAGAUUAAGGUUCAAAUGAGGUUUUUGAAUCAAUUCAAGAGAAGCCUUUGUUAUCUUGAUUUGGUGGAAUUACCAAGCUCCAAGGUAAGGGUUAUUGACUCAAAUUGCUUUAAUUAAGGAUGAGUUGGGAU
Long non-coding RNA from Tripterygium wilfordii, 293 nucleotides. RefSeq lists it as uncharacterized. The transcript has 2 exons. NCBI's taxonomy places the organism in Eukaryota, Viridiplantae, Streptophyta, Magnoliopsida, Celastrales, Celastraceae. The record is from RefSeq and is a predicted model, not a curated record.